AACGAACGCUGGCGGUAUGCUUAACACAUGCAAGUCGAACGAACAAAAUUGGGGCUUGCUCCAAUUUUAGUGAGUGGCAAACGGGUGAGUAACACGUGGGAAUCUACCUAUCAGUACGGAAUAACAUUUGGAAACAGAUGCUAAUACCGUAUAUUCUCCAAGGAGGAAAGAUUUAUCGCUGAUAGAUGAGCCCGCGUAAGAUUAGGUAGUUGGUAGGAUAAUGGCCUACCAAGCCGACGAUCUUUAGCUGGUCUGAGAGGAUGAUCAGCCACACUGGGACUGAGACACGGCCCAGACUCCUACGGGAGGCAGCAGUGGGGAAUAUUGGACAAUGGGCGAAAGCCUGAUCCAGCAAUACCGCGUGAAUGAUGAAGGCCUUAGGGUUGUAAAGUUCUUUUAGUUGGAAAGAUAAUGACGGUACCAACAGAAAAAGCCCCGGCUAACUCCGUGCCAGCAGCCGCAGUAA
This 466-nucleotide ribosomal RNA is filed under the name uncultured bacterium. Its description in RNAcentral is "partial 16S ribosomal RNA". It matches the Rfam family "Bacterial small subunit ribosomal RNA", at positions 29 to 523 of the family's 1533-position model. The record is from RNAcentral.